ACAGAGAGCUUGCUCUCGGGUGACGAGUGGCGGACGGGUGAGUAAUGUCUGGGAAACUGCCUGAUGGAGGGGGAUAACUACUGGAAACGGUAGCUAAUACCGCAUAAUGUCGCAAGACCAAAGAGGGGGACCUUCGGGCCUCUUGCCAUCAGAUGUGCCCAGAUGGGAUUAGCUAGUAGGUGGGGUAACGGCUCACCUAGGCGACGAUCCCUAGCUGGUCUGAGAGGAUGACCAGCCACACUGGAACUGAGACACGGUCCAGACUCCUACGGGAGGCAGCAGUGGGGAAUAUUGCACAAUGGGCGCAAGCCUGAUGCAGCCAUGCCGCGUGUAUGAAGAAGGCCUUCGGGUUGUAAAGUACUUUCAGCGGGGAGGAAGGUGUUGUGGUUAAUAACCACAGCAAUUGACGUUACCCGCAGAAGAAGCACCGGCUAACUCCGUGCCAGCAGCCGCGGUAAUACGGAGGGUGCAAGCGUUAAUCGGAAUUAC
This 489-nucleotide ribosomal RNA is filed under the name Enterobacter cloacae. RNAcentral's name for it is "bacterial SSU rRNA". It matches the Rfam family "Bacterial small subunit ribosomal RNA", at positions 71 to 554 of the family's 1533-position model. Lineage: Bacteria; Pseudomonadati; Pseudomonadota; Gammaproteobacteria; Enterobacterales; Enterobacteriaceae. The record is from RNAcentral.